RNAcentral lists this transfer RNA (73 nucleotides) under Cordylochernes scorpioides. Its description in RNAcentral is "tRNA-Thr". It matches the Rfam family "tRNA". From Rfam's summary of the family: Transfer RNA (tRNA) molecules are approximately 80 nucleotides in length. Their secondary structure includes four short double-helical elements and three loops (D, anti-codon, and T loops). The record is from RNAcentral. Lineage: Eukaryota; Metazoa; Arthropoda; Arachnida; Pseudoscorpiones; Chernetidae.
UCCAGGGUAGCCUAGUGGACAUGGCAUCUGCCUGGUGAGCGGAACGUUGUGGGUUCGAUUCCCGCCCCUGGAC